GCUGUUUCUCAUGAAUAAGAAAUCAUUUUAUGCAUUUCCUUGCAAGUGAUGAUCUGCUACAACGUAUUUUUAAGCUUAUAUGUCACACGUUUAAAACAUCUGAACCAUGCAAAACUUGGGUUCUGACAUGAAGAUGGUCCAUGUCAGAGAUCAGAUCGAUCCACUCAUUAGGUGAGGCGCACCUUAUGUUGAAUCAGAUUCUUGGAUAUACUUUUAUUUUGAUGGUGUGGUCCACCUGAUGAUUGGUUUCUGCAGACACGCUACUGCAGAAUGGGCUUAGAUGGAAUGUUUUGAUCAUAAUUAACGACUUAGAUUUAAUCAGGUAAGGAAUCAAGUGUAAGAAAUGCUUCCAAUGAGAACAAACAAGUUGGCCCUUCUACACUUGGUCGGCGUAUAAGAAAAUGCCUGGAACACCUAAAAAAGAGUGACCCCCUCAUCACUUUAACUCACACAGGAGACUGUCGGAAAGCCCCUGAGAAUUGCAACAAGAAGGAUAAUUGAAAGGCUAAUGUCAUACUUCCAGACAUGCCUUUAUGCUUUAUAAUAGAAGAGAGUCAAGAGAAGGACUAAAACCACCCAUUUUUACAUACACACAAACACACACAAGUAAAUAAAUAAAUAAAUAAAGUUUUUGAGCUCUGCUUCCUCAGAAAUUUCUUACAGUAUUAACAGUUGUGUGUGAAAUUCUACUAUAAAAUGAAGUUCAUAUGUGCAGGGAGGUGUAUGAACGUUUUCAAGCUUCCUAUAAAGGCAAGGAAGACAUCCACACCAGGUUGAUGAGGAAGUACAUGGACAUUCCUGAAUGGUGGUUCUACCUGUUGCUGGUGGUGACUGUUGGAAUCUCUCUUAUCAUGUGCACUGACCUAAAAGACUAGGUUCAACUGCCAUGGUGGGAUCUCCAAUUCGCCUGCGCUAUUGCCUUUGUUUUCACUCUUCCCAUCAGCAUUAUAACUACCACUACAAAUCAGGUAUAGAGAGUCUUAUCCUCUUUCCUUCUCUUUCUUUUAUUCCAUUUACACCCAAAAACCAAACCAGGCCUAUGUUGGAGGUGCCUUCAAUAGUGUAUAAUCAUUCACAAAAAAACCUCAAGAUCACAAAAGAGGACUUGAAUAGCUGAUGCUACUGCAAUUCAUGUUAUCACAACAAUAUCCUAAGGUUCUAAUAUAUAUCAACACUCAAAAGAUAAUACUGAAAUUUCAUUUAUUGCCAUAAAUUCCAGUGCAUGAAAGUGUCACAAAGGAGUCCUUAAAAAUACCAGGAUAUUUUUGGAUGCUCUUAUAUUUAUUGGUACCUUCAAUUUUCAGAUGCCAGGGCUAAACAUCAUCAUAGAAUACAUCAUGGGUUUGAUACUACCAGGAAGGCCAAUAGCCAAUGUUUGCUUCAUAGUGUAUGGGUAUCUGAGCAUGACACAGGCCAUCUCCUUCCUUUAUGAUUUCAAGCUUGGACACUACAUGAAGAUCCUGCCAAGAUAAAUGUUCUUAGUUUAGGUAUUUUUUUUCUCCAUUCAACCUUCUAUAACAGUCUAUAGGGCAUUUAGAAAAGAAACAUGGGAAUCAAGCAGAGAAUGUUAAGAUGCUCAUAUGAUAAACCUUACUUUUAGAUCAGCAUUUGAACAUUCGAAUAAUGGUUGCCAACAUGAAUUUAGGAAAUUGUAAGUAACAGCUAGCUAUGAUUUGAGAAAUAAUGAAGGCCAGUGUAUGUGUGAGGACCGACCAUUCAUCAUGUAGGCCCCACCGUGUAUAUACUGUGGCCUGAAAAUCAGGCUAGCCUGAUCAUCAUGUGGGCCUCAUUCAUUUGGAUGAUAAAAAGGAAUAGACGAACAGUCCACAUUCUACCUCUGUAUGUGCCCACCUUAUGAAUGGCAUUAGUUUCACUCAGAGUUGUUCACAUGUGCAGCUCCCAAUCCAGAGCUGUUCAAAUUUUUGGUCCAAAUCAAAUCUAGACCAUUGCCACCCCUAGUGUUGAAAAUAACCUAGAAAUUGUUCACUAGCUAUAACUAUAAGAAAAAAUUGGGCAUGAUAGAUUAUGUAUUUAUACUCUUUAUAAGACAUGAAAUAUCUAUCUUACAAGUUGACAGUAAUAGUCUAUAGUAAUAGUUCAGGCAUGCACGAGAGAAUGCUGUGAUUUGAGGUUGUUCAGGCAUCCAUCUGAUGGGGCUAAUCAAUACAAAGUAGGAUGAUACAGAGUACUAAUUGCAUGAUUGCUGGCUAUUGAAAUUAUAGAAACAUACAUGAUCUCUAAUACAUAGUUAUGGUUAAUAAAAAUGAGAUGAACUCAUUUAUAAGUGACACCCUAACAAGCCUUAAGAUUUACCAAGAGAACACACAGUAUGCUGACAAACCAACACAUUUCUUUCCAUUUCCCUUUUAGAUACUAGAUUCAAACAGAGAAGCAGGUUUUAUGGGGAAAAAAAAAACACAAGCCCAUUCAAUCCACUAUGCACUUGGUGGAAGCAGAUUUUUUGAAUUAAUCAUCUUAAUGCUUUGAAAAGUGGAAACAAAUUAGACUUGAUUCAAUCUCCUUCCCACUCUAAACCAUCCCACCAUUGCAAAACUUCUGGCAAAUCCUUAAUUCAUCAAAUGAAUUUUUCUCAUUAGGUGAAACAUACUUUUCUAGUUCUCCAUGAACACAGUAAUUUUUGCCUAAAGAUAGCUAUACUUUCCAUUUGCUCAUUGAUGGUUCCCUGUGGAUUAAUCUAGCAAGAUAAUGGUAGGUUUACAAAGGAUUUGGUUUGGCCACACAAACACUAACUGAAAUGAGAAAAAAUGGUUGUUUUCAUCCACAAAUUAAGUUACUAAGAAAGCUUAUCAUUUUUUUUCUUUGAUUAGGGUUAAAUCUUCUCUUUCGAUCUACUUCGACUAGUUGGAAAUUCAAUCGCCCAUCCCACCAUUCUCACUGUCUAGAAAGGCAGCGAUCCGGUGACCGGAGAACUGCACCGGUGUCUCCAGAUGGCUCCUAUGCAUUGCCAAGUGGCACUGUUGCUGUUCUCAAACUAAAUGAGUAAGAUGAUAUCUUUAUCUUGGAGAUGGUUUCUUCAGGUUGUCAUUGGAGCUAGGUUAUAGCAUGUUAACCAUUUGACCUUCUGAAAACAGGGUUGCUUUUGAGAGGGAAAUUGAGGGUUUACCUUCUACUUGGCAUGUCAGCGAUCUCCCUACAAAAUUGCAUUGUCCAUUGUGUAAAGAAGUAAUGAAAGAUGUUGUCCUCACUAGCAAGUGUUGUUUCAAGAGUUUUUGUGACAAAUGUAUCCGAGACCACAUAAUUUCAAAGUUCAUGUGUGCAUGUGGAGCUACAAAUAUACUUGCAGAUGGCGCUUAGGGAAACUAUCAACCGCAUCUUGGAGUCAACUACCAGUAGUGAAGAAAAUGCUGGAAGUGUAUUACAUGUGUAAGGUUUGUAAGCUGGUGAUGACAAUCUGGUUUAGUAUAUUGAAAUCAAACAUUUCAUAUAAGUUGAGUGAUCUAACCUGUUUUCUUUAGAUAUGGAGUCCGUUGGUGUUCACUGCCUAAAGCUCCAUCCCCUACUCUUUCUGCCACUGCAAAAGAGGAAACUAUGACAGAUCAUUGUGAAGAUCAUACUCAUAAUAUAAAGGAGACCUUUUCUAUACAUUGGAAGUUUCCGCUGGAGGGACCCACUGUUCCUAUGUUCUUAUUCAUCCCAUUCAUAAUUUUAUUUUAAUGUAAUUUAUUCUAUUUGUCUGUGUUGCAGCUGCUGACUUGUAAUGGAGAACCCCUCAAGAUAUUGCUGGUGAAAACCAUGCAAUGCCUUUUGGCCCUUCGGCGUACAACCCAGAUUGGUCUGGCAUGCAAUGGGGAAUGGAUGGAUAUAUGGCACCUCUUGCUAGUCCUAUGCCCUUAUAUGGGUUAUAUGAUGCCGAUCGUUCCUCCUCAAAGGGCUGCAGUAGGGAAAUAUUGUAGAGAGCACUGUUUAGUGGCAGUAGGAAAAAACAACAUCUAUUGCUUUAGAGAAUUGAUAAUGUGCAUGCCUGCUUAUGCUUGUCUUUUUGGGUCUUUAGUAGCGCUUUUAACCCUCGGUAAAGGUUGG
Magnolia sinica is the source of this 4041-nucleotide long non-coding RNA. RefSeq lists it as uncharacterized. Lineage: Eukaryota; Viridiplantae; Streptophyta; Magnoliopsida; Magnoliales; Magnoliaceae. The transcript is spliced from 4 exons. The record is from RefSeq and is a predicted model, not a curated record.